This 504-nucleotide ribosomal RNA is filed under the name uncultured bacterium. Its description in RNAcentral is "bacterial SSU rRNA". It matches the Rfam family "Bacterial small subunit ribosomal RNA", at positions 30 to 524 of the family's 1533-position model. The record is from RNAcentral.
AUUGAACGCUGGCGGAAUGCUUAACACAUGCAAGUCGAACGGUAACGAUGGUAGCUUGCUACCAGGCGACGAGUGGCGGACGGGUGAGUACAACUUAGGAAUCUGCCCAGUAGUGGGGGACAACUCGGGGAAACUCGAGCUAAUACCGCAUACGACCUUCGGGUGAAAGUGGGGGAUCUUCGGACCUCACGCUAUUGGAUGAGCCUAAGCCGGAUUAGCUUGUUGGUGGGGUAAUGGCCUACCAAGGCGACGAUCCGUAGCUGGUCUGAGAGGACGAUCAGCCACACUGGGACUGAGACACGGCCCAGACUCCUACGGGAGGCAGCAGUGGGGAAUAUUGGACAAUGGGGGCAACCCUGAUCCAGCAAUUCCGCGUGUGUGAAGAAGGCCUGCGGGUUGUAAAGCACUUUCAGUAGAGAAGAAAAGCGUUGGGUUAAUAACCCGGCGUCUUGACGUAACCUACAGAAGAAGCACCGGCUAACUCCGUGCCAGCGCCGCGGUAAU